RNAcentral lists this ribosomal RNA (809 nucleotides) under uncultured bacterium. RNAcentral's name for it is "bacterial SSU rRNA". It matches the Rfam family "Bacterial small subunit ribosomal RNA", at positions 8 to 796 of the family's 1533-position model. The record is from RNAcentral.
AGAGUUUGAUCAUGGCUCAGAAUCAACGCUGGCGGCGUGCCUAACACAUGCAAGUCGAACGCGAAAGUCCCGCAAGGGAUAAGUAGAGUGGCAAACGGGUGAGUAUCGCGUGGGUGACCUACCUCUGAGUGGGGGAUAACAUUCCGAAAGGAGUGCUAAUACCGCAUGACAUCCUGUCUUUGGACAGAUGGAGAUCAAAGCCGGGGAUCGCAAGACCUGGCGCUUAGAGAAGGGCCCGCGUCCGAUUAGCUAGUUGGUGAGGUAACGGCUCACCAAGGCUCCGAUCGGUAGCCGGCCUGAGAGGGCGGACGGCCACACUGGGACUGAGACACGGCCCAGACUCCUACGGGAGGCAGCAGUGGGGAAUUGUUCGCAAUGGGCGCAAGCCUGACGACGCAACGCCGCGUGGAGGAUGAAGACCUUCGGGUCGUAAACUCCUUUCGACCGAGAUGAAUACCUGCCGACCUAACACGCCGGCAGGCUGACAGUAUCGAGGGAAGAAGCCCCGGCUAACUCUGUGCCAGCAGCCGCGGUAAUACAGGGGGGGCAAGCGUUGUUCGGAAUUACUGGGCGUAAAGGGUUCGUAGGUGGCUUGCUAAGUCAGACGUGAAAUCCCUCAGCUUAACUGGGGAACUGCGUCUGAGACUGGCGAGCUUGAGGGUAGGAGAGGAAUGCGGAAUUCCAGGUGUAGCGGUGAAAUGCGUAGAUAUCUGGAGGAACACCGGUGGCGAAGGCGGCAUUCUGGACUACAUCUGACACUGAAGAACGAAAGCCAGGGGAGCAAACGGGAUUAGAUACCCCAGUAGUCC